CCUACGGGUCGCAGCAGUAAGGAAUAUUGGUCAAUGGGCGGAAGCCUGAACCAGCCAUGCCGCGUGCAGGAAGACGGCCUACGGGUUGUAAACUGCUUUUGUACCAGAAUAUGUAUGGUAAGAAUAAGGAUCGGCUAACUCCGUGCCAGCAGCCGCGGUAAUACGGAGGAUCCAAGCGUUAUCCGGAUUUAUUGGGUUUAAAGGGUGCGUAGGUGGCUUUUUAAGUCAGGGGUGAAAGACGGUAGCUUAACUAUCGCAGUGCCCUUGAUACUGAAGAGCUUGAAUGAACUAGAGGUAGGCGGAAUGUGACAAGUAGCGGUGAAAUGCAUAGAUAUGUCACAGAACACCAAUUGCGAAGGCAGCUUACUAUGGUUUAUUGACACUGAGGCACGAAAGCGUGGGGAUCAAACAGGAUUAGAUACCCCAGUAGUC
RNAcentral lists this ribosomal RNA (432 nucleotides) under uncultured bacterium. RNAcentral's name for it is "partial 16S ribosomal RNA". It matches the Rfam family "Bacterial small subunit ribosomal RNA", at positions 338 to 795 of the family's 1533-position model. The record is from RNAcentral.